RNAcentral lists this ribosomal RNA (253 nucleotides) under uncultured bacterium. RNAcentral describes it as "partial 16S ribosomal RNA". It matches the Rfam family "Bacterial small subunit ribosomal RNA", at positions 524 to 776 of the family's 1533-position model. The record is from RNAcentral.
UACGUAGGGGGCUAGCGUUGUCCGGAUUUAUUGGGCGUAAAGCGCGCGUAGGCGGCCCGGUAAGUCCGCUGUGAAAGUCCAGGGCUCAACCCUGGAAAGCGGGUGGAUACUGCCGGGCUAGAAUCCGGAAGAGGCGAGUGGAAUUCCUGGUGUAGCGGUGGAAUGCGCAGAUAUCAAGAGGAACACCUGAGGUGAAGACGGGUUGCUGGGCUGACACUGACGCUGAGGCGCGAAAGCUAGGGUAGCAAACGGG